Molecule: long non-coding RNA, 2740 nt
Filed under: Erythranthe guttata (spotted monkey flower)
Lineage: Eukaryota; Viridiplantae; Streptophyta; Magnoliopsida; Lamiales; Phrymaceae
Description: long non-coding RNA (EGUT_LNC001461)
Source: RNAcentral
UUUGUCGGAAAGACAAUCGAAUCUGAUCCAUAUUCCGUCCAUUUCUUGGUUUCUGACACUAUUUACGCAUGGUCUGGAAAAAUCUCCGACAAGUACAACCUUAUCAAUGUUUCACUCUGGACACAACCAGCCCUGCUGUUUUCUUUAGGUUAUCACAUGGAGCUUCUAAGAGAAAAGGGUCAUUUCCCAUGGAAAGGUAUGCAUAAAUUAAAUCUACAUCUUGCUAAUUCCUCUCCUGUUAUAAACAUAAAAUAUUCGCAUUAUUUCAUUUCUCAUACUUAUGUGUAGUAGCUUUCUUCAAUGUCAGGCAAUAUAGCCGAGGAAAUAAACUACGUUCCAGGAGUUCAGUCAAUAAGCACAAGAGACUUGAUGCCGUAUUUUACAAAAGCAGAGUCGGAAUAUAUUCCAACCAAAGUCUCAUCCGUGGCAUUCGGCAAGUAAAGAAGGCGGAUUUCAUCCUACACAACACUGUGUAUGAGUUAGAAUCUCAGACACUCUCAGCUCUCAGCAAAUACCAACCAAAUUACGCAAUUGGCCCUAUUAGGUUCUCCAAGAAUGUUCCAACAAAUGAUGUCAGCAAGAGUUUUUGGUCUGAAUCAGACUGUACAAACUGGCUAGACUCCAAGUCCCCUGGCUCAGUUUUGUACGUUUCAUUUGGAAGUUCUGUUCAGACCAAUAAGCAGGUGACUGAAGAAGUGGCUUACGGGCUUCUUCUCAGUGAAGUGAACUUCAUUUGGGUGAUUCGACCAGGUAUCCUCGGUUCUCCUGAUAACAAUGUUUUACCAUUUGGAUUCGAGGAUGAGAUUAAUAUUAAGGACAAAGGGUUGAUUAUUCCAUGGUGUGAUCAAAUUAAGGUUCUUUCUAAUCCGGUUAUUGGAGGGUUCUUGACACAUUGUGGGUGGAAUUCGACUUUGGAGAGCAUGUGGUGUGGGGUUCCAAUGAUUUGCUACCCUAUAGACUGGGAUCAACCUACUAAUAGGAAAUUAGUGGUUGAUGAUUGGAAGAUUGGGAUUAAUCUUUGUGAUUACGGAACAUCAGUUGAUAGGAAACAAGUUGCUGAGAAGAUUAAGCAAUUAAUGAGCGGAAAUAGUUCUAAGAGCUUGAGGCAAGAAGCAGAUAACGUAAAGGCGAUUUUGCAGAAGGCAGUUGAAAUUGAUGGAUCGUCCGAGAAAAACUUUGAUCGAUUUAUCGAAGAUUUGAGGGGAAAAAUUCACGAAACAGCUUUAAAUAUGAGUUAGUACCACCAGAUCAUUUUUCGUAAUGAUUAUUCAGAAAUCAAAUAAUGAAAAUUAAGAAUUGAACAUUAACCAGAACUGUCAGUUAAGCAGAGGUUUUCAAUUAAAAAAAAAUAAGCAGAAAGUGAAUUCGAGUUAAUUAAAAUGAUUCAUUUUCACCCAGUUACAAGCUUCCCUGAUUUCAACUAUAUACAAACAAUUCUUAUGCAUGAUUAAUAUAAUAAUAUAUAGAUCUUUUAGCUGGUCCUAGUACCUGCUGUCUUGUCAAAUUCUGAAUUGCGUCUCUUAGCUCCAUUCUUAUCACAAACUGGCAUAAUUUGUCUAGUUCUGAAUACUACAUACGCCUGUCAAUAGCACCACACAAAUUCAAUCCAGAAGAUAUCAGAUAAUAAUUAAGAGAGAGAAAAUAUCAGAAAAUACUACAUACAUACCUCAUACAACACAAUCUAACAAACCUGCAAAAAUUAAGAGAGAGAAAUGGCAGCAGAGAGUGAGUGCAUAAAGUCACAUGCUAUAAUGAUAUCAGCCCCUUACCAAGGUCACAUAAACCCCUUUGUCAGUCUUGCUCUCAAGCUUGCUUCUAAUGGCUUUUCCAUCACUUUUGUUCAUUUCGAAUUCGUACACGACAAAUUAUCCAAGGCCCUCCAUAGCAAUAAUAAUGAAGUUGAUUUAUUCUCUGAAGCUCGAGAAUCAGGUCUUGACAUACGUUACACAACCAUUGCUGAUGGUUUUCCUUCUGAAUUUGAUCGGGAACUUCACUUUGAGGAAUAUUGGGAGUCCAUAACGUUCGAUUUUCAAUCUAUAAUCGACGAAUUUGUCGGCAAGACAAUUGAAUCUGAUCCAUAUUCAGUCCAUUUCUUGGUUGCCGACACUAUUUAUGUAUGGCCUGGAAAAAUUUCCGACAAGUACAACCUUAUCAAUGUUUCACUCUGGACUCAACCAGCCCUGGUGUUUUCUUUAGGUUAUCACAUAGAGCUUCUAAGAGAAAAGGGUCAUUUCCCAUGGGGAGGUAUGUAUAAAUUAAAUCUACAUCUUGUUAAUUCAUCUCUUGUGAAAAAUAAAAUAAUAAAAUAUUCGCAGUAAUUAAUUUCCUGAAAUUUUGAAUGUCGUUUCACUUAUAUUAAUAUUGUAGUCCUUUGAGGUAGCUUUUUAAUCCAAACUUAAAUCAGUUGAGGUAGCUUUUUAAUCCAACUUAAAUCAGCUAGAUUGGAUGCCAGGUGACAAAGUUAUGCAUGAAUGACUUAUAUCUUGAAUUUUUAAUAACUCAAAACAUCAAAAUUGCGGGCAGUCUUCAUUGAUUCAUGCAUAUCUUUCCCACCCUACAUCCAAUCUUCGUGAUUCAAGUUGGAUUAGAAAGCUAACUCAAAGAACUCCACCUUUUGUGUUUUGAGUUUUGCCAAAUUCAGCCACAUAAUUGGUCAAAAUCAAGUUUGAAGUUGAAACGGUAUCAUUAAAACCGAAACGACAUUUAUCACAUCCUUUAAAAUUCUCAUACUUACAUGUAG